This is a long non-coding RNA of Gallus gallus (chicken), 605 nucleotides long. The record is from Ensembl. NCBI's taxonomy places the organism in Eukaryota, Metazoa, Chordata, Aves, Galliformes, Phasianidae.
AACUGCUCAUUCAGUGCUGCUGUGCAUAUAGGUGUCCCUAAAUGAACAGUGUACCUGUUGUGCUGUUUCUUGAGUCCCAAAGCUAUCACCAAAGAUGGUGUGUGUGGAGCUGCGCAUGGAGAAUGCUGUAUCCACAGAGCCUGCUGUUGGUGUCCUGGUCUGCUCUCACGUGCCUGUUCUUUGGAGAUCAGGAAGGAAUUCAGUUGGGGCUGAAUGGCAAGCUGUGCCACUGUAUUGUUGGUAGAUCACCACCCUUGUAAGAAAAUAAAAAUACCCACCAUACACCAUGAAGGAACCUCCUUUUGAUCUUCUCUGAGUAUGUAGGUCACUUAAUGUGAAUAGGAUUUAGAAGCCAUUUUUACAGCACUUGGUUUUUAUUUGCCACAAAAUGCUCAUGGUGGAUGCUAUAAAAAACAAAAGUUUUAAAUAGACCUAAGCUUUUAUCUCCAUUUGUGUAUCAUAUGGAAUACCUUAUUUGUACUGAUAGGUUUUUGUUCAAGAUCUCCCUGUGUCAGGAAAUUUUUUGUUCUGAUAGACCUCGCUCAAUUAUCUUCAACACAAAAAGAGACAGAGCAUGUCUCCAACUUUAUGCUGCCCAGGGAGGA